Molecule: microRNA precursor, 204 nt
Filed under: Oryza sativa Japonica Group (Japanese rice)
Lineage: Eukaryota; Viridiplantae; Streptophyta; Magnoliopsida; Poales; Poaceae
Description: MIR812 microRNA precursor family
Rfam family: MIR812 microRNA precursor family
Source: Rfam by way of RNAcentral
AAUAGAUGACGCCGUUAACUUUUUCUCACAUGUUUGACUAUUCGUCUUAUUAAAAAAAUUUACGUAAUUAUAAUUUAUUUUGUUAUGAGUUGUUUUAUCACUCAUAGUACUUUAAGCGUGAUUUAUAUCAUAUACAUUUGCAUAAAAUUUUUGAAUAAGGCGAAUGGUCAAACAUAUGAGAAAAAGUUAACGGCGUCAUCUAUU